RNAcentral lists this ribosomal RNA (253 nucleotides) under uncultured bacterium. RNAcentral describes it as "partial 16S ribosomal RNA". It matches the Rfam family "Bacterial small subunit ribosomal RNA", at positions 524 to 776 of the family's 1533-position model. The record is from RNAcentral.
UACGUAGGGUGCGAGCGUUGUCCGGAAUUAUUGGGCGUAAAGGGCUCGUAGGCGGUCUGUCGCGUCGGGAGUGAAAACUCGGGGCUUAACCCCGAGCCUGCUUCUGAUACGGGCAGACUAGAGGUAUGCAGGGGAGAACGGAAUUCCUGGUGUAGCGGUGAAAUGCGCAGAUAUCAGGAGGAACACCGGUGGCGAAGGCGGUUCUCUGGGCAUUACCUGACGCUGAGGAGCGAAAGUGUGGGGAGCGAACAGG